CCCUACGGGGCGCAGCAGGCGCGAAAACUCUACAAUGCAGGCAACUGCGAUAGGGGGACAUCGAGUGGCAUCCACCUUGGGUGCCUGUCCAACCGUCUAAAAAACGGUUGUUAGCAAGGGCCGGGUAAGACCGGUGCCAGCCGCCGCGGUAAUACCGGCGGCUCGAGUGGUGGCCGAUAUUAUUGAGUCUAAAGGGUCCGUAGCCGGCUUUGCAAGUCCCCUGGGAAAUCCAGCGGCUUAACCGUUGGGCUUCCAUGGGAUACUACAUUGCUUGGGACUGGGAGAGGUAGGAGGUACUCGGGGGGUAGGGGUGAAAUCCUGUAAUCCA
RNAcentral lists this ribosomal RNA (328 nucleotides) under uncultured archaeon. Its description in RNAcentral is "bacterial SSU rRNA". It matches the Rfam family "Archaeal small subunit ribosomal RNA", at positions 321 to 649 of the family's 1478-position model. The record is from RNAcentral.